Non-coding RNA from Cherax quadricarinatus, 528 nucleotides. NCBI's taxonomy places the organism in Eukaryota, Metazoa, Arthropoda, Malacostraca, Decapoda, Parastacidae. The record is from RefSeq and is a predicted model, not a curated record.
AAACUGAUGAGUCAGUGUGAGUCUUCCUCUGUUUUGUUUACAUCUUACAAGUUAUUAUUCAAGACUUGUGAAUCUUGUGCAGGAUCUUACUGCUCUCUUACUUCAGCUUAAUAGUCAAGGUACAAUGCAGAAGAAACGAUCUGCAGUGUGGAGACACUUCGAUGAGGAAGGGGAUAAUAAGGUAGCCUGUAAGACUUGUCACAAACGACUCACGAAGCAUGGUAACACUUCCAUGAUGAUCAGACAUCUCCGAGGGCAGCAUCCAGAGAUCAUGCAUGCCUGCUGGAUGCUGAUGGACCCACUGUGACAGGAAGGUGUCUCGUGGCAGUUAGAAGAACAGCAGGUGGAAGAGGUUGUGGAAUCACUUCCUCCACUAGAAAACUCAGUGAAGAAGAAAAGAUCAACUGUUUGGAGACACUUUGAAGAAGAGGGCAAUGGAUAAAGUUAGCUGUCGUAUAUGUAACGAGAAGUUGGCCAAGCACGGUAACACCUCGUCAAAGUUGCGUCAUAUCCGAGGCAAACAUCCUC